RNAcentral lists this ribosomal RNA (487 nucleotides) under uncultured Rheinheimera sp. Its description in RNAcentral is "bacterial SSU rRNA". It matches the Rfam family "Bacterial small subunit ribosomal RNA", at positions 30 to 510 of the family's 1533-position model. The record is from RNAcentral. Lineage: Bacteria; Pseudomonadati; Pseudomonadota; Gammaproteobacteria; Chromatiales; Chromatiaceae.
AUUGAACGCUGGCGGCAGGCCUAACACAUGCAAGUCGAGCGAAUGAGGGUAGCUUGCUACCUGAUUUAGCGGCGGACGGGUGAGUAAUGUAUAGGGAGCUGCCCGAUAGAGGGGGAUACCAGUUGGAAACGACUGUUAAUACCGCAUAAUGUCUACGGACCAAAGUGUGGGACCUUCGGGCCACAUGCUAUCGGAUGCACCUAUAUGGGAUUAGCUAGUUGGUGGGGUAACGGCUCACCAAGGCGACGAUCCCUAGCUGGUUUGAGAGGAUGAUCAGCCACACUGGAACUGAGACACGGUCCAGACUCCUACGGGAGGCAGCAGUGGGGAAUAUUGGACAAUGGGCGCAAGCCUGAUCCAGCCAUGCCGCGUGUGUGAAGAAGGCCUUCGGGUUGUAAAGCACUUUCAGAAGUGAGGAAGGGUGUGUAGUUAAUACCUACAUAUCUUGACGUUAGCUUCAGAAGAAGCACCGGCUAACUCUGUGCCA